This 138-nucleotide small RNA is filed under the name Desulforamulus hydrothermalis Lam5 = DSM 18033. RNAcentral describes it as "Desulfotomaculum hydrothermale Lam5 = DSM 18033 PyrR". Lineage: Bacteria; Bacillati; Bacillota; Clostridia; Eubacteriales; Peptococcaceae. The record is from RNAcentral.
CAAACCUUUAAAAGCGGUCCAGUGAGGCCGGCAAGGUGAUUCCCGGGUGGGAAUGCAGGCAGCAAUGCAAAGAUUGCUGAAUUUAUAGCCUUAUUGCCGGCCUCAGCCAGGUAUUACAACCUGGUUGGGGCUGUUUUA